This 168-nucleotide unclassified non-coding RNA is filed under the name uncultured fungus. RNAcentral describes it as "sequence contains ITS1". The record is from RNAcentral. Lineage: Eukaryota; Fungi.
GUUUAUGUUUCUUUUAAUCUCUCUGACCAUUCAUAAGCGUGUAUAUGGGAUGGAUGAGAAAAGUUGAGCCGAUUUGAUUCAACUCAACCCCUCUCACUCACUCCUUUGUUUCCACAGAUUCAACCAGUGAUUUUGUUAAUGAUCCUUCCGCAGGUUCACCUACGGAAA